This 301-nucleotide ribosomal RNA is filed under the name uncultured bacterium. RNAcentral's name for it is "partial 16S ribosomal RNA". It matches the Rfam family "Bacterial small subunit ribosomal RNA", at positions 509 to 808 of the family's 1533-position model. The record is from RNAcentral.
CAGUCGCCACGGGAAUACGGAGGGUGCAAGCGUUAAUCGGAUUACUGGGCGUAAAGCGCACGCAGGCGGUUUGUUAAGUCAGAUGUGAAAUCCCCGAGCUUAACUUGGGAACUGCAUUUGAAACUGGCAAGCUAGAGUCUUGUAGAGGGGGGUAGAAUUCCAGGUGUAGCGGUGAAAUGCGUAGAGAUCUGGAGGAAUACCGGUGGCGAAGGCGGCCCCCUGGACAAAGACUGACGCUCAGGUGCGAAAGCGUGGGGAGCAAACAGGAUUAGAUACCCCGGUAGUCCCUGUCUCUUAUACA